This 497-nucleotide ribosomal RNA is filed under the name uncultured bacterium. RNAcentral describes it as "partial 16S ribosomal RNA". It matches the Rfam family "Bacterial small subunit ribosomal RNA", at positions 28 to 507 of the family's 1533-position model. The record is from RNAcentral.
GAUGAACGCUGGCGGCGUGCCUAAUACAUGCAAGUCGAGCGAACAGAUGAGGAGCUUGCUCCUCUGACGUUAGCGGCGGACGGGUGAGUAACACGUGGAUAACCUACCUAUAAGACUGGGAUAACUUCGGGAAACCGGAGCUAAUACCGGAUAAUAUAUUGAACCGCAUGGUUCAAUAGUGAAAGACGGUUUUGCUGUCACUUAUAGAUGGAUCCGCGCCGCAUUAGCUAGUUGGUAAGGUAACGGCUUACCAAGGCAACGAUGCGUAGCCGACCUGAGAGGGUGAUCGGCCACACUGGAACUGAGACACGGUCCAGACUCCUACGGGAGGCAGCAGUAGGGAAUCUUCGGCAAUGGGCGAAAGCCUGACGGAGCAAUGCCGCGUGAGUGAUGAAGGUCUUCGGAUCGUAAAACUCUGUUAUUGGGGAAGAACAAAUGUGUAAGUAACUAUGCACGUCUUGACGGUACCUAAUCAGAAAGCCACGGCUAACUACGUG